AUUGAACGCUGGCGGCAGGCCUAACACAUGCAAGUCGAACGGUAACAGGAAGCAGCUUGCUGCUUUGCUGACGAGUGGCGGACGGGUGAGUAAUGUCUGGGAAACUGCCUGAUGGAGGGGGAUAACUACUGGAAACGGUAGCUAAUACCGCAUAACGUCGCAAGACCAAAGAGGGGGACCUUCGGGCCUCUUGCCAUCGGAUGUGCCCAGAUGGGAUUAGCUAGUAGGUGGGGUAACGGCUCACCUAGGCGACGAUCCCUAGCUGGUCUGAGAGGAUGACCAGCCACACUGGAACUGAGACACGGUGCAGACGCCUACGGGAGGCAGCAGUGGGGAAUAUUGCACAAUGGGCGCAAGCCGGAUGCAGCCAUGCCGCGUGUAUGAAGAAGGCCUUCGGGUUGUAAAGUACUUUCAGCGGGGAGGAAGGGAGUAAAGUUAAUACCUUUGCUCAUUGACGUUACCCGCAGAAGAAGCACCGGCUAACUCCGUG
Molecule: ribosomal RNA, 490 nt
Filed under: uncultured bacterium
Lineage: Bacteria
Description: partial 16S ribosomal RNA
Rfam family: Bacterial small subunit ribosomal RNA
Source: RNAcentral